ACAAAUAAAUCAAGUAGCUAAGUAAUAUGUGUAUGUAUAUGUCAUUUUAAUUAAAAGACAGGCAUUCUGAGUGUUUCAACCCAUGUUUUAAUGUUUAACUCAAACUUUGCUCUUUUUCCAUGUAUCCAUCUAAUAGGUUUCGUGUUUCUAAUAAAAGUUAUUCUGCGUUAUUUUCACAAUUUCUUUUAUUUUUCAUAACUUUAAAUAUUUUUGUCUAUAUAAACUUUCAUUUUCUUUAUUUCUUUUCAUCAUUGUCAUUUUAAAAUAAAAAUAAAAAUU
Molecule: long non-coding RNA, 279 nt
Filed under: Lathyrus oleraceus (garden pea)
Lineage: Eukaryota; Viridiplantae; Streptophyta; Magnoliopsida; Fabales; Fabaceae
Description: Pisum sativum (pea) long non-coding RNA (PSAT_LNC039614)
Source: RNAcentral